Long non-coding RNA from Pogona vitticeps (central bearded dragon), 2140 nucleotides. NCBI's taxonomy places the organism in Eukaryota, Metazoa, Chordata, Lepidosauria, Squamata, Agamidae. The record is from Ensembl.
UUUUAAAAUACUCCAGCAACGUUUAGUUCCAAACCAAAUGAAAUGCUUUAAACUGACAUGGUUUCCGAAGUGUAACUUCAAGAUUUUGUUGCCCUUGGAAUCUUAGAAUCUUGGAAUCCUAGAACUGCAGAGCUGAAAGUGACCCGGUGGAUCAUCAAGGCCAGCCCCUGCCAAGAAGUCACAGUGGGGAAUCGAACUCUCAAUCUCUGUCUCUGUGACCAGAGACCUAAACAACUGAACUAUCCAGCCAUUAUUCUGGCUAACUAAGCACCAACUGCGGCCAACUGUUGCUACAGAAACAACAAUAACAGCACUGUGGAAGAAUUAUUUGAAGUGCAUUAGCAAUGUGCUGUUUGCUUACUAAGGUGUGUUUGGGCUACUAAACAAUGUGACCUCAAACUAUGCAGUGCCAGAGAGAUGUACCCAGUGUGCCUUGCAAUUAACCCAGCAAGCAUGGGAAUACAGAAAGAUGUCUGAAAAAGCGGCUUCCAGCAAGUCUGAUAUUAGGGCUUGUUGUUAUGUGCCAUCAACUCAGACCCAAUUUAUAAUGACCCUAAUAGGGCUUUCAAGCUCCCUGCCAAUUCAAGAUGAUGAGGGUGGAUGGAAAUGGUCAUGGUGCCAUACAGCAAACAUCUCUGAAAACUGAAGAAUUGCUAAGCCCUUCAACUGAAUGGGGGAAUGAGUUGUGGCAACCCUAUUGCUGAUACAGCUGGCCCAUGUUCAUCUUGUACCAUAUCUCACUGGGGUACUUCCUUUUCUAAAGUACCGUGUAGCAACACAAGAAGCAUCAGUGCAUUUACUCAGCAGCCUGCCCAUAUGUUUGUCUUACCCACACAGUAUUGAGCACAUGUCCAUCAUUUUCAGCCCUUUGAGUCACCAAAAGAAGACCCUGAGAGAUGGGGAAGGCAUCAAAAUCUUAUGCUUAUGUACUUUGCAUAUAAAAGAUUCCAGCUUCAGACCCUGGCAUCCCCAUGUCAGGAUAGAAAACACUGUUUGUCUGAAACCCUAGAGAAUGUUGCUUGUCAGUGUGGAGUAGAUAGCAUUGAUUGUGAUGGACUAAUAGUCUGACUUGGUACAAAGCAGCUUUCUGCUUCCCUAGAAAGCUUUCUGCUUCCCUAGCAGCUUUUCAGUGACUGCAUAUAGUCUAUAGAGCUAGAAAAACUUACUUUUAAAACUGUAACUACCAAUUAGUGGCAAUUCUAGCUGGGAGCUUCAGUCCAAAAAGUAAUAACAAAUCCCUACAUGAUCCUGAUUGACUAGAUUGUCUACAUGAUUUCAGAAACAAAUAGUCUACCAUAGCCAAAAUUCUAUUACUUAUGUAUGAUGGCAUAAGACAAACAAUUCUAAGCAUUUUAGUUGCCACUACUUAAGAUGUUGACACUUGUAUUCCUGUUUCAGUUGCAUGACUUGGCGCAACAGUCUACUUCUUAAGUAGCAGCAAUUCACCAUUGAUAUUUAGGCCAUAUUACUUACAGUGGCAUAAGUAUUAGGAUUCUGGUCAAAUUUUUUAAAGUUGACACAGAAAGCAACCAGUGUACCAAAUAGACCCAAUCAUAUCUGAGCUAAGCAGGACUGAGCCUGGGACCUGACCAGGAAAUACUGCGGAUCUCAAAGCAGAGCUAGCAAAGAAUCUUACCUGAAAACCUGGAGAGCCAUUGAAGGUCAGAAAUGACAAUACCAGGACCAACAGUCUGACUCAGUAUAAAACAGCUUCCUAUGUUCUAUGAUCAUAUGUUUGGGAAAGUGAUGGUGUCUAUCAAGUAUUGAAUAGGCAACAAGGUGAAUAAUGGGAGUUGACAAGUAUAUCAGUACCCCAUGAACACUACUUUAAGCUCCCCUCCCAAACCCUCAAACCAAUGAACAGUUUUACAUAGUUCUCGCACCUACUCCAGAUACUGUGGGGUUGGCACUUAAUUCUGUCCCAGUGUAAGGAAGAGAAAUUGGGGCAUCAUUUUUCAACUGCUCUCAGGGAACAUUAUUAAUGAAAACAUUAGCAGAACCAAAGGCUGUUGGCUACUUCUGGCCCCCUGUGAGCUUCAUCAGGGAAAUCCUAUUGAAAGUAUAUCAAUGGGGCGCGGGGUGAUAUUACAAAGUAUAAUGAUGAUAGAAACAAUAAAAACAGAAUUAUGCUUCUUUUUCA